This 178-nucleotide non-coding RNA is filed under the name Desulfosporosinus youngiae. Lineage: Bacteria; Bacillati; Bacillota; Clostridia; Eubacteriales; Desulfitobacteriaceae. The record is from RNAcentral. RNAcentral also lists the same sequence under 1 other name.
AAAAAUAUUUCCAUUUUAGGUGCCCUUUUGAGGGAGAAUAGGGAAGUUCGGCUAAGACCGACGCGGACCCGCCACUGUAUACGAGGAGUUUCGUCAUCACUGGUUUUCUAUACCGGGAAGGUGACGAGUUAAGCAAUGAUUCGUUAGCCAGGAGACCUGCCUAAAAUGUUAACGUCUU